GGAAAACACAUGUGGUGAAUUUAAGCACGUCUUGAAAUAAAGAAACAGACCUUUCACUUGCUGUCUGAUGGCGGGGACUGUCUCAUAGGAAUGGUCUUGGGGACAUGGUGGCAGUGAGCAAGAUGUGACCAGGAAGAAGGAUCAGAGAGAUGUGACAACAGAGGACUCUGACUGGCUUUGAAGAUGGAGCAUGAAGGUUUCCAGACAAAUAUACAGAAGCCUCUAGAAGCUGGGACUGACUCUUUGUUUCCAGCCAGCAAGAAAACAGGCAUCUUAGUCCUACAACUUCAAGGAACUGCAUUCUGGCAACAAUCUGAAUGAGUACGAACCAGACUCUUUCUUAGAGCCUUCAAAAAGGAACACAGGGGGCUUCCCUGGUGGCGCAGUGGUUGAGAGUCCGUCUGCCGAUGCAGGGGACACGGGUUCGUGCCCCGGUCUGGGAAGAUCCCACAUGCCGCGGAGCGGCUAGGCCCGUGAGCCAUGGCCGCUGAGCCUGCGCGUCCGGAGCCUGUGCUCCGCAACGGGAGAGGCCACAACAGGGAGAGGCCCGCGUACCGCAAAAAAAAAAAAAAAAAAAAAAAGGAAC
Long non-coding RNA from Orcinus orca (killer whale), 586 nucleotides. RefSeq lists it as uncharacterized. The transcript is spliced from 2 exons. NCBI's taxonomy places the organism in Eukaryota, Metazoa, Chordata, Mammalia, Artiodactyla, Delphinidae. The record is from RefSeq and is a predicted model, not a curated record.